This 253-nucleotide ribosomal RNA is filed under the name uncultured bacterium. RNAcentral's name for it is "partial 16S ribosomal RNA". It matches the Rfam family "Bacterial small subunit ribosomal RNA", at positions 524 to 776 of the family's 1533-position model. The record is from RNAcentral.
UACAGAGGGGGCAAGCGUUGUUCGGAAUUACUGGGCGUAAAGGGCGCGUAGGCGGCUUUGCAAGUGACGGGUGAAAUCCCUCGGCUUAACCGAGGAACUGCCUGUCAGACUGUGAGGCUUGAGACCGGGAGAGGUGAGUGGAAUUCCCAGUGUAGCGGUGAAAUGCGUAGAUAUUGGGAGGAACACCAGUGGCGAAGGCGGCUCACUGGACCGGAACUGACGCUGAGGCGCGAAAGCGUGGGGAGCAAACAGG